AUUUACAUAAUUUAUCUAGAAUAUUGCACUGAAGAUGCAAAAGAGGUUGAAUAACCUGUAAAUA
RNAcentral lists this transfer RNA (64 nucleotides) under Rhithropanopeus harrisii. RNAcentral's name for it is "tRNA-Phe". Lineage: Eukaryota; Metazoa; Arthropoda; Malacostraca; Decapoda; Panopeidae. The record is from RNAcentral.